Molecule: ribosomal RNA, 505 nt
Filed under: uncultured bacterium
Lineage: Bacteria
Description: partial 16S ribosomal RNA
Rfam family: Bacterial small subunit ribosomal RNA
Source: RNAcentral
GACGAACGCUGGCGGCGUGCCUAAUACAUGCAAGUAGAACGCACAGUUUAUACCGUAGCUUGCUACACCAUAGACUGUGAGUUGCGAACGGGUGAGUAACGCGUAGGUAACCUGCCUGGUAGCGGGGGAUAACUAUUGGAAACGAUAGCUAAUACCGCAUAAUAUUGAUUAUUGCAUGAUAAUUGAUUGAAAGAUGCUAUUGCAUCACUACCAGAUGGACCUGCGUUGUAUUAGCUAGUAGGUGAGGUAACGGCUCACCUAGGCGACGAUACAUAGCCGACCUGAGAGGGUGAUCGGCCACACUGAGACUGAGACACGGCCCAGACUCCUACGGGAGGCAGCAGUAGGGAAUCUGCGGCAAUGGACGAAAGUCUGACCGAGCAACGCCGCGUGAGUGAAGAAGGUUUUCGGAUCGUAAAGCUCUGUUGUAAGAGAAGAACGGGUGUGAGAGUGGAAAGUUCACACUGUGACGGUAUCUUACCAGAAAGGGACGGCUAACUACGUG